Molecule: ribosomal RNA, 250 nt
Filed under: uncultured bacterium
Lineage: Bacteria
Description: partial 16S ribosomal RNA
Rfam family: Bacterial small subunit ribosomal RNA
Source: RNAcentral
UACAGAGGGGGCAAGCGUUGUUCGGAAUUACUGGGCGUAAAGGGCGCGUAGGCGGCCUUCUAAGUCAGACGUGAAAUCCCCGGGCUCAACCCGGGAACUGCGUCUGAUACUGGAUGGCUUGAAUCCGGGAGAGGGAUGUGGAAUUCCAGGUGUAGCGGUGAAAUGCGUAGAUAUCUGGAGGAACACCGGUGGCGAAGGCGGCAUCCUGGACCGGUAUUGACGCUGAGGCGCGAAAGCCAGGGGAGCAAAC